Molecule: unclassified non-coding RNA, 290 nt
Filed under: uncultured Zopfiella
Lineage: Eukaryota; Fungi; Ascomycota; Sordariomycetes; Sordariales; Chaetomiaceae
Description: partial contains 5.8S ribosomal RNA, internal transcribed spacer 2, and large subunit ribosomal RNA
Rfam family: 5.8S ribosomal RNA (bases 1-102)
Source: RNAcentral
AUGCGAUAAGUAAUGUGAAUUGCAGAAUUCAGUGAAUCAUCGAAUCUUUGAACGCACAUUGCGCCCGCCAGUAUUCUGGCGGGCAUGCCUGUUCGAGCGUCAUUUCAACCAUCAAGCCCCAGGCUUGUGUUGGGGGCCUGCGGCUGCCGCAGCCCCCUAAAAGCAGUGGCGGGCUCGCUGUCAUUCCGAGCGCAGUAGUUACAUCUCGCUCUGGGUGUGGCGGCGGGCACCUGCCGUAAAACACUUCUAAGGUUGACCUCGGAUCAGGUAGGAAUACCCGCUGAACUUAA